This is a non-coding RNA of Dipodomys ordii (Ord's kangaroo rat), 65 nucleotides long. NCBI's taxonomy places the organism in Eukaryota, Metazoa, Chordata, Mammalia, Rodentia, Heteromyidae. The record is from Rfam.
GGUGGCUCAGUGGUAGAGUGCUUGCCUUGCAUGCAUGAACUCCUAGGUUCGAUUCCUCAGCACCA